This 99-nucleotide transfer RNA is filed under the name Macrophomina phaseolina. RNAcentral describes it as "tRNA-Asn". It matches the Rfam family "tRNA". From Rfam's summary of the family: Transfer RNA (tRNA) molecules are approximately 80 nucleotides in length. The record is from RNAcentral. Lineage: Eukaryota; Fungi; Ascomycota; Dothideomycetes; Botryosphaeriales; Botryosphaeriaceae.
UCCUCCGUGGCGCAAUUGGCUAGCGCGUCUGACUGUUAUGGGUAUUCGAUCGAUGCCCGAGCAAUCAGGAGGUUGACAGUUCAAGCCUGUCCGGGGGAG